AUGCACGCUGGCGGCGUGCCUCACACAUGCAAGUCGAACGGAGUCCAGCCUUAGAGACCUUCGGGUCAAAGAGGGGAAGACUGAGUGGCGGACGGGUGGGUAACACGUGGGCAACCUGGCUCAUAGAGGGGGAUAACAGAGAGAAAUUUCUGCUAAUACCGCAUAAGCACACACUGCCGCAUGGCAGAGUGUGAAAAGAGAAUCGCUAUGAGAUGGACCCGCGUCUGAUUAGCCAGUUGGCAGGGUAAGAGCCUACCAAAGCGACGAUCAGUAGCCGAUUUGAGAGGAUGAACGGCCACAUUGGGACUGAGACACGGCCCAAACUCCUACGGGAGGCAGCAGUGGGGGAUAUUGCACAAUGGGGGGAACCCUGAUGCAGCGACGCCGCGUGAGUGAAGAAGUAUUUCGGUAUGUAAAGCUCUAUCAGCAGGGAAGAUAAUGACAGUACCUGAAUAAGAAGCCCCGGCUAACUACGUG
RNAcentral lists this ribosomal RNA (477 nucleotides) under uncultured bacterium. RNAcentral's name for it is "partial 16S ribosomal RNA". It matches the Rfam family "Bacterial small subunit ribosomal RNA", at positions 30 to 507 of the family's 1533-position model. The record is from RNAcentral.